Molecule: non-coding RNA, 72 nt
Organism: Podarcis lilfordi (Lilford's wall lizard)
Lineage: Eukaryota; Metazoa; Chordata; Lepidosauria; Squamata; Lacertidae
Source: the annotation of a GenBank genome assembly
GGAGAUGUAUCUCAGAAGUAGAGCAAUUGCUUUGCAUGCAAAAGGUUCUAGGUUUGAUCCCUGACAUUUCCA